This 481-nucleotide ribosomal RNA is filed under the name uncultured bacterium. RNAcentral describes it as "partial 16S ribosomal RNA". It matches the Rfam family "Bacterial small subunit ribosomal RNA", at positions 28 to 507 of the family's 1533-position model. The record is from RNAcentral.
GAUGAACGCUGGCGGCGUGCUUAACACAUGCAAGUCGAACGAAGCACUUUAUUUGAUUUCCUUCGGGACUGAUUAUUUUGUGACUGAGUGGCGGACGGGUGAGUAACGCGUGGGUAACCUGCCUUGUACAGGGGGAUAAUAGUGGGAAACGGCUGCUAAUACCGCAUAAGCGCCCGGCAUCGCAUGAUGCAGUGUGAAGAACUCCGGUGGUAUAGGAUGUACCGGCGUUGGAUUAGCUAGUUGGUGAGGUCACGGCCCACCAAGGCGACGAUCCAUAGCCGACAUGUGAGAGUGACCGGCCACACUGGGACUGAGACACGGUCCAAACUCCUACGGGAGGCAGGAGUGGGGAAUAUUGCAAAAUGGGCGAAAGCCUGAUGGAGCGACGCCGCGUGAGCGAAGAAGUAUUGCGGUAUGUAAAGCUCUAUCAGCAGGGAAGAUAAUGACGGUACCUGAAGAAGAAGCACCGGCUAAAUACGUG